AGUGAGCGCUGGCGGUAGGCCUAACACAUGCAAGUCGAACGGCAGCACAGUAAGAGCUUGCUCUUACGGGUGGCGAGUGGCGGACGGGUGAGGAAUACAUCGGAAUCUACUUUUUCGUGGGGGAUAACGUAGGGAAACUUACGCUAAUACCGCAUACGACCUACGGGUGAAAGCAGGGGAUCUUCGGACCUUGCGCGAUUGAAUGAGCCGAUGUCGGAUUAGCUAGUUGGCGGGGUAAAGGCCCACCAAGGCGACGAUCCGUAGCUGGUCUGAGAGGAUGAUCAGCCACACUGGAACUGAGACACGGUCCAGACUCCUACGGGAGGCAGCAGUGGGGAAUAUUGGACAAUGGGCGCAAGCCUGAUCCAGCCAUACCGCGUGGGUGAAGAAGGCCUUCGGGUUGUAAAGCCCUUUUGUUGGGAAAGAAAAGCAGCAGGUUAAUACCCCGCUGUUCUGACGGUACCCAAAGAAUAAGCACCGGCUAACUUCGUGC
This 493-nucleotide ribosomal RNA is filed under the name uncultured bacterium. Its description in RNAcentral is "partial 16S ribosomal RNA". It matches the Rfam family "Bacterial small subunit ribosomal RNA", at positions 29 to 508 of the family's 1533-position model. The record is from RNAcentral.